GUGAUAUUGAGUCUGUUAUUCUGCACUCUGGAAUGGGGCCCUGCUUUUUCAUCCUGGCUCUCUGUGUUCAACAGGUUUCUCUUUGGCCUCAUGUCUCCUCUCCACCCCUGCGAUUCAUUUUGGUAAUUUGAAAUCCUGUUCCACUUGGUGCAUUGCUGUGCUGAGAAUGACUUGUGGCUCCCUGGAUGGCAGCCCUCACAUCUGUGCUUAUGGAACAAACAGCUGAUGCAGGUGUUCAGAGCUGCCAGUAGAACACCUUUGCAAACUGAGAAGCUUUUACAUAGCAAGGAG
This 291-nucleotide long non-coding RNA is filed under the name Zonotrichia albicollis (white-throated sparrow). RNAcentral's name for it is "lncRNA (ENSZALG00000011563.1)". The record is from RNAcentral. Lineage: Eukaryota; Metazoa; Chordata; Aves; Passeriformes; Passerellidae.